Molecule: ribosomal RNA, 457 nt
Filed under: uncultured bacterium
Lineage: Bacteria
Description: SSU rRNA
Rfam family: Bacterial small subunit ribosomal RNA
Source: RNAcentral
AGAACGAACGCUGGCGGCAUGCCUAACACAUGCAAGUCGAACGUGAUCCAUGACUUCGGUUGUGGUGAAAGUGGCAAACGGGUGAGUAACGCGUGGGAAUCUGCCCAGAGGUAGGGAAUAACCGCGGGAAACUGCGGCUAAUACCCUAUGUGCCCUACGGGGCAAAGAUUUAUCGCCUUUGGAGGAGCCCGCGUCGGAUUAGGUAGUUGGUAGGGUAACGGCCUACCAAGCCUACGAUCCGUAGCUGGUCUGAGAGGAUGAUCAGCCACACUGGGACUGAGAUACGGCCCAGACUCCUACGGGAGGCAGCAGUGGGGAAUAUUGGACAAUGGGGGCAACCCUGAUCCAGCAAUGCCGCGUGAGUGAUGAAGGCCUUCGGUUGUAAAGCUCUUUCGGCGGGGAAGAUGAUGACGGUACCCGCAGAAGAAGCCCCGGCUAACUUCGUGCCAGCAGCCGC